AUAGAUAUACUAUUGUAUCAAAUUUUAUGUAAAAGCUUAAAAUUAUAUUAACUUCGAUAAUACAAUUAUAUUAAAAAAUAACAUAAAUAUAAUAAUACGAAUAUAUAGAUUAUAAGGGAUGAAAUUAAUGGAACUAUAACCAAGGAAAAUUUGUUAUUUUUUGUUUAAAGUAAAUAACGAGAAAGCUUUAUUAACAUAAGGUGCAAUUACAGGUAAUUUACAUGCCAUUACACCCCAUACAAGAUCCACAAUCUCACUGAGAUCUCAUCCUAUUAAGCUGGUUCAAAGCGGGUUGCAGAAUGUUGUAGGCCACCCAAAGAAGAGCUGGUGCUACAACGAAGAGGAGAAGGGUACCCCUAUUGUCACUAGAUGCAGCAUCAGCUACCAUAGCUAUCUCACUGGCCGAUGCUUCCGGUGUUGACAUGAACCCUGAUGCAGCCAAUCCUCCGAGCCCUAGCCCUAUGAUAACCCCUUUGGAGCUCCUCAUUCGAUUCAGCUGGUUAAGUGCUGGCUGGAGGAUGUUGAAGAGGACCCAAGCGAUCGCUGGGAUUAUGGGAAGCAAUAGAGCUAGCCCACGGUUGUCUCCUUCAGCUAUUUCAGCAAUCUGUUGUGCAGCUAAGGCGGGGUCACAUGAACUUAAGGUUGAGAAGAUAGCUCCAGCAAUGGCGCUGCCAGCGAGUGAAGAAGGUAGGUUUGAGUUGUUGGCUGGUUUUGAGAUGGUGAGGCCUUUGGGGAGGUUCUGCAUGGAGAGAAGGGAGAAGGGCUUUGGGGUUGGCUUUGUUGGGCUGCUCAUCUUAGUUGAGCUGAUGCUUAGGCAUUUUUGCAUUGAGCAUCGCCAUUGUUGCUACACUUGCUGCCAUUUUUUUAUGUUUUUGGGUUUAGAAUUGUGCUGUUGAUGCCAGGGGAGUCGGGGCGGGGGAGCUUUUUGUGGCAGAGAAAUGGAGUUUCAAUUGCCUCUGGCUGAGGAUUUGGGUUUUGGGAUAUAAGAUUUAAUGUGAAGCAAAUCAAAUGAUGUCCAAUAAAAUGAAGGUCUCUGGAUCUACUCUUAUCCAGAUGAUAUGAUGUGUGAGAUAUGGACCUCAUGUUGGAUACCCCACCACAAUUUUCUUAUCGCCACCAAUGGCAUAUUCCUUCUUAAGGUCAAUUUGUUAACAUUAAGCCGUUCAUUUCACAUAAUAUCUAUCUGCAACUUCACUUGAUGAAAACCUUGUCCAGUGGCUCAAUACACAAUGAAGCCCAAAGGCCCACCUUGCAAAGCUGAAGUCCAUUCUUUGGGCUGCUGUCUCUGUCUCCCUCUUUUUGUUUUCAAAGUCUUCCUCUUUGUUUCGAGGUUAAUACCUUAAACUUUUUGGAAACCACAAGGCUCAGGCUAUUAAAAGUAUUUAGGUACUUUUUGUAUAUUAUAGAAGUGUAAUUUAUUCUUCAUAGGAUAAAUAUGUAUAAUAUAAUACGUUUGAUGUUCGUGCAAGCAAAAUUAAUAAAAUUUUCAUGGAAGACUGUUUAAAAAAAAUUAAACAUGAUGCUGGUAGAUACAUUUAUGGAUUGACUUGAAAAUUUUGUUUUUCUUACUUGAAAUUUCAUUUUUUUAAAUAAUAUAUUAUGUGGUGAAUCAUUGAUUUUUGUUUUUCAAUAUUCGUUCGGUUACAAUUGGACGAAGUUAGUAUAGUUAUAAAAUAGAGUGGACAACACAAUUGUUUAUGUAAUUUGAAACUUCUUACUUCUAUUCUUACCUAGAGAGUGACCCAAUAUAAAUUAAUAAAGUACAAAUUGUGGUUUAAGUUCAAGUCAUAACUAACUUGCAACCUCACUUCUAUACUUCAAACUAUAUACACUCUCAAUAACUAUUUCCCUUUGAAACCUUAGUUGUAAACCAAUGAAUAAUCCAAUUUACUAAUUUACUUUCACAAAUUAUGCCCUAAAAAUAAUCCAUAAAUUAACAAAAUAGAACUUCUGUCUCUAUGUGUGUAACACCCUCAACCCGACUCAAAUUACCGAAUCCAAAUCUCGGGUAUUACUUUACAUUUCACUUAACAAAAUUUCAAAACAGUCAACAUGUACGCUUGACUUAAAAUAUAUUCUUAUCAUUUUAUUUAAAGAAUCAACAUUAAAGGAACAAAGAAAAGUAUUUAAAAAUAAAAUAAUACAUCAGACUUGUUACAACUUAUUACAACACAAAAGUUUGCUAAAGACAAACUCUUUAAGGUGUAAACCUACAAUACGUCACUUUUCCAAAUAGUCCACUGUAUGCAUAAUAACUCGGUUCGCAGCUUCCUUGGCACAUUCCUAGAGUCGUCCCUCCUAGCAUACUCACUCUUACAGUAUACCUAAAAACAUAAACAUAACACUUGUAAGUUACACGAAAUUGUGAGCAUAAAUACAUAAUACAUUUGUGGAUACUGUUAUAAUAUCAUUUGCAUGUUCAUAUGCCAAUUUCUGUAUUUAAACUAUCAUUUUGUUUUGGGCUUGACACUUCAAAAUACUUGGACAUACGCACAUACGCUGUAACACCCCCACACCCGAAACCGUCGCCGGAGUCGAGCUUGAGGGGUUACGAACAUAAUUAUCAAAUUAAGACCUUCAAAUCAUUUGUUUCUACAUUCACAGCUUUCUAACUACCCGCGUUACAGUUACAAGAAAAAUCAUAUCUCGAGUUACGAAACUCGAAAUCAAGAUCCGUAAAUUUUCCCUAAAUAUAUACUCAUAUAUAUAUUUACUAAUUUUUUUUCUAGAAUUUUUGGUUGGGCUAAUUAGUACAGUUUAUUAGUUAAAGUCUCCCCUGUUUCAGGGUUUGACUGCUCUGAAUCUGUGUAUUUCGAAUCAGAUAUCUCUCUAUACAGAAUUUCAAUGACUACGAGGUGUGUUUUUCUUAAAACUAGACUCAAUAAGGAAUCUGUACAUAUAAAUAAAAACUUCUAAUUUUUUUUGAAAAGUUAUUAUGAAUUUUUAAAGUCAGAACAGGGGAUCCAGAAAUCACCCUGGCCCUGUUUCACAAAAGUUUAAAUAUAUCAUAAAAUAUUAAUUUAUAUGCCUGUUUUGUUCAAUACACAUAAAAAUAGACUCAUUAAGCUUUAAUUUCAUAACUUACUCAUUAUUUAGUUCCAUUUAUACUAUUUUUAGUGAUUUUUCAAAUUCAUGUCAUUGCUGCAGGCAAUAUUCUGUUUUAAGGCAAGUUUCAGUCUUUCCAUCGAAUUUUUAUGAACUAGAUAACCUAUUAAACUUCCACUAAGAUCAAACAUGAUCUAAAUUAGCCAUCACUAUGACGUAUCAAUAUCAAACAUUUUCUCAACCAAACAUGGCCAUAUCAUAAAAUUAUUUACUCAAAAUAAGUAUAUUGCUAUACAUGCCAUACUUAAGUUUUCAAGCCAUUUACCCAGAUGAAAGUCCUUUGGAUAGUGUGAUCGAACCUUCGACCCGUCUCGAUUCCCGAGCUGGCUUGUUCAAAACUACAGUAAAUAAAGAGGAGGGCGUAAGCAUAAAAGUAAGUUCAUAUGUAAAAUAACAAGUAACAUAACAAUACAAAUAUACCAAACAACUUUAGCAUGGUAUCACCAAAACAUAUGUCAUAUUUCUAAACAUCAUUCAUCAUCUUACCACAUUAUCGUUGUUGUAUCUAUUUUCAACCCGAGGGUUAAGAACUUACCUGUCCAAAGUGUCCAUUUCACAACACUUACCAAAACGUCCCUUGCAUCUUAAGUGUUCUUCCAUUUCACUAGAAAUUUCACCCGUUAAAACAUCGGAAUACAACUCGGAUACACGGAUAAUUUGCACAUAAGUGCCUCAUAUGUAAUCAAGAAAUCAUGUAACCCGCCCCUAAGUGAACUCGGACUCAACUCAACGAGCUCGGGCGUUCGCAUCCAUAAGUGAACUCGGACUCAACUCAACGAGUUUGGAUGCCUAGUUACAUCUCACGAACUCGGACUCAACUCAACGAGUUCGGACAUUCGUAUCCAUAGGUGAACUCGGACUCAACUCAACGAGUUCGGAUGCUCAACCAUCCUAGUGACAUGUCACUUAUCCUAAUCUAUUCCUAAGGUUCAAACGGGCUUCCCUCGAUCUCACAUUUCGUCUUCCAUGGAAUAUCGGAACCGAUACUCGGUAGCAAUUCAUAUUUAUCAAGUAAACAGAUUUGCAAUUACUCAACAUUAAACACAAAGCAUAAUAUUUCACGAUUAAAAUCAGCGCGUAUCAUAAAUUAACACAAUAACUAAAAAUAACAAUUAUGCUACAUUAUUUACACAUGAACUUACCUUGGUACCAAAAUAUAAAGAUUUUGCAAUUUAGUCCACAAUCUUCUUUUCCUCGAUCGCGACUUGAACUCGUUUCUUGAUCUAUGAUGCCAAAUUAAUCUUAUUUAAUACAUACAUUCAUCAAAACAACAGUUAAUACGAACUUUGGAAAAUUUUAACUUUUGCCCCUAAACUUUUGCAUAAUACACUUUUCCCUAGGCUCAGGAAUUAAACUUAUUCCUUUAUUCUUAUGUUUUAUAACAGUGCUGAUCACUUUCCCUCUAUGGCAACAUCAAAUCUCUCUCUAAAUAUACUUGUGAUUAUUAGGUAUUUUUAUCCGAGUGAAGCCCUUUUACUUGUUUUCACUCAAAACUGAGUAGCACAAGGUGUCUAAACAUAAUUUAAAACCUCAUAUUCUAUCAUAAAACAUCAAAAUACACAAAUUUCACUAUGGGUAUUUUUCAAAUAUAAACCCUAGGUUGAAUUAUUGCUAACAUAAAGCUUAAUCGAGCUACCGAGAUUCCAAAACGUAAAGAGCACAUUAAAAACGGGGCUUGGAAUCACUUACUAUGGAGCUUGGAAGCUUGAACAAACCUAGCUAUAGAGAACCCUUGAAAUUUCGGCCUAAUGAAGAAGAUGGACAAAAAUUGGCUUUUAAUUUUGUUUUUAAUUCAUUUUAAUAACGAAAUGACCAAAAUACCCUUACUACUAAACUUUCCAAAAAUUCCUUCCAUGUCCUAAUUUGUCCAUGAACUUAAAAUUGGUCAAAUUUCUAUUUAAGACCUCCUCAUUAAUAUUCCAAAACAAUUUCAUACUAAAACUUCUAGAAUGCAAGUUUUGCAACUUAUUCGAUUUAGUCCCUACUUUCAAUUUAACCACUUUAGGCAUAGAAUUUCAUCACGAAAUUUUCACACAAUCAUGCAAUCAUAUCAUAAUCAUCAAAAUAAUUAUAAAUAAUUAUUUCUAUCUCAGAUUUGUGGUCACGAAACCACUAUUCCAAUUAAGCCCUAAUUCAGGAUUACAUACGCUAAUAGUCAUACUUAACGUAUUAGCUUCCAUUUCACUACUUGGCUAAUUUCAGAUCUUACAAGAUAAUAUAUUGUUAUAUUCUUUCUUAUAGAAUAACAAAGAUACUUCUCAAAUGAAUAUUUCUAUCGAGCCCUCUUUAUACGGAUUUACUCUUCAUAUAGACAUUUGCAAAAUGGAUGUUCACAGAUACUACCCACUAGCGAAUACUUACUAUCUGAAUUUACAUUUGCAGAUUCCCAAACUGAGUCUGAUACUAUCAAUCUACCAAACAUGUUCAUAUCCAAAGUUCAAAAGCCAAACAUAUCUCAUAACUAAUUCUAAACUAGUCGUAUCACUUUAAAGGAUUUCCAAUCACCGGUGGUACACAAAAAUAAGAAAACCCAAUGAUUGACAACAACUUUGAUUCCAUAAGAUUUCCCAGAAGACAUAAUGCUAUUUCAAAUAUGGGGAAUACCAUGAUGACAUUGAUCUAAUCUCUAUUUAACACAAGCAAACUCAAGCGAUGAAUACUUAUAUCUUUCUAUAUUUACCGAAUACACCCAUAUCUAAACCGAUAGGUUACUAUAGUGGUAAACCCCAUAACAAUACAAAUAAGAUUUUCUUUCAGGAAAAUUCCUUAAAACGCAUUUGACUACAUCACAAACUAAUCAAAUCAAAUUGACUUCAGACACAUCAUAUCCUUAUCAUAGACUUAUCUAUAAAAGAAGUCUUAGAACAUAUCUAGAACUUACAUAAGGGCAGAUAAUCUAUUAUGCCACAUGAACAUCAACAAAUAUGCCAAUGAAACAAUAGAAUUUGCCACAAAGGCCAUAAAGAAUACACCACAUAGGCUAUACAAAAUACACCAUAAAUGAUUAGCAGAUCACGCCAUACAAGCAAAAUACAUAUUCACGUGUUUAUUGUCCUAGAAAACUUUGAUAGAAACUGACAUGGAUUUCUUCCUUAUAGACUUAUACAUAUUUUCAUGUCGUGAUCUGCCAGUUCAAUUUGCAUAUUACUAAAGGCAUCACCAUGGAUAUUCAUACUAUCAUAUCAUGCCAUGGGUCUCAACCACAUGGACUUACACAUUCUCAUGUCGUGAUCUGUCAGUCCAGCCUUCAUCUUACUGGAGGUUCGCCAUUAGUGUCUUUAUAUCGCACAAUGCCAUGAGUCUCGGCCACAUGGUCAUUGAUCGCCUUCAGUGCCAUGGUCUCGACCACAUGGUCAUUGAUCGCCUCCAGAUGUACUAACUUCUAGAGUGUCAAUACUACAGCUAGAGAUAUGAAAUUGAGCAGUGUCCACAAGUAUACGAGUCAGGUUAUAAUCUUGUUUUUACAAUGAAGUAGGUGAGUACUCCAAAGGUCGAACCCAAGGAAGGCAAGUACUAAUAUUAACUUAAACGUAAAUAGAUCUAAUUAGUAUCAUAAAUAAAUUAUAGUAUGAUAAAGCCUAAAGUGAAAAUAUUUAUUUAAUAAGGAAAGAGUAAAACAUGCAUAAAAGAGUGAAAAUGAAAAACUUAUAUAUAACUCAACCAAAUCUAAGAAUGGGUGAUUAGCUCACUUUAGUGGUUAUAAUUAAUUCCUAUUCUAGGUUUCUACUCAAUCUACUAGUCAUUACAUAAACAGGAUCUAGAUCUUCCAAUAAACUAAUGAGUCUGCUAGAACUACUUAUUCUCGACCUCACAGUGCAUAUCGGAUUGGGGUAAGGGGUUCACAGAUAGCCAAUACCAAUUUUGCGUUAAUCCCCCACCUAGAUAACUUCCUAAGGUUGUCAGGCCUAGGGUUUAAGUUCUUCCUAUCCCAAACAAUUGAUCUACUAAGAAAACUCUACUUAGACAUUAAUUAAUCACACCUCCAUUCACUAAUCUCCCAUAAAAGGAUUACUUAGUCAUGGAUCUUAUAAACAAUAUAUACUUGAUAAAGAAAGUAAACAUGAAUAACGAAUCAAGAAUAACAGGUUAAGAAGAAAUAUUGAUUGUAUUGAUUGAUUGAAGCACAGAAAUCCACAAAGUGCUUGAUUGAAUCCACAAAUCAGAUUCUCUGAAUGAAUGAAAACAAAUUGAAAUAAAUCCUAAGUCUAAAAAGAAAUAAAAAAUUGAAAGGAAAUUCUAAAUUACAAAAUAGGUUCAUUCUUAAGUGUUUAAUAAGCUUAUUUAUAAUGUUAGGGUUGGCCAUCAUUCUUAGCCUUAGGUUGGUUGAUGUUUUUACAUUAGUUUUCAUUGCAUGAACCAAAACGCACCUAGCUUGUUGAUGCUUUCACGUACAGGGUCGAUGUCGCGACACUGAAGGUAGUUUGCUUAGCUUCAAGCUCAGCUUCAAGGGUGUGUCGCGACAUCUUCUAUCAAUUUUGACACUAAAGGCAGUCUUAGUAUUUUAGCACUCUGGUCACUGUGGAGACCUUGAACUCCACAUGUUGAAAACAUUGUGACCAACCUUGAAUCCUCAAGCCUUUGAAUGGUGUCCUACACACUUACUAAUACGUUAGUCUUCCCUUAGCCCUCAUUCGACCCUAAGGUCAUAAAGCAACUUAAUUACACUUUCUAUUAAAUGAAAACUAAGACUGGAAAACUAAAUAACACAUAAUAAAUUUGCUCAUAUUCAGGUUCUCUAAGUAUGAAAACUAGUUUUAAUUUGCUACAACGAAUGCGACAAAUCAAACUCUCCCCAAUUAAGUAUUACUUGUCCUCAAGAAAAGAAACAAAUAUCAAAGACGACUCUGAGCAACUAGGAUACAAAGACAAGUUUUGGAAUACAUAGCUAGGAAAAAUCAUAUCUACACAUAAUUCUAGCAUGAUAUAUUAACUACUUACCACUCUUAAUAUCAAACACCUAAGUUAAAUAUAGUACAAAGUAUAUAAACAAUAAGGUAAUUUACUUAUCUUAGCAAAAUACAAACUGUUAUUAUUGUAAUUACUCAAUAUAAUGUCAAUCAUGAAUAGAUUUAUAGAUCACAUAGGGCUUUUCGACUAGUAAUGUUAUGAGGCUUAGGGUAGGUAUGAAAUUCAAAAACAAAAAGCAUCAAAACAACUUUAAGCAACGGAAGUAUUUUAGCACAUCGGAUUGUUCCCGAUUUUCCCCUUUAACAACCCUUUCUUGCUCAUCGUCUUAUUCUCAUUCUCACCUUUCUUANNNNNNNNNNNNNNNNNNNNNNNNNNNNNNNNNNNNNNNNNNNNNNNNNNNNNNNNNNNNNNNNNNNNNNNNNNNNNNNNNNNNNNNNNNNNNNNNNNNNNNNNNNNNNNNNNNNNNNNNNNNNNNNNNNNNNNNNNNNNNNNNNNNNNNNNNNNNNNNNNNNNNNNNNNNNNNNNNNNNNNNNNNNNNNNNNNNNNNNNNNNNNNNNNNNNNNNNNNNNNNNNNNNNNNNNNNNNNNNNNNNNNNNNNNNNNNNNNNNNNNNNNNNNNNNNNNNNNNNNNNNNNNNNNNNNNNNNNNNNNNNNNNNNNNNNNNNNNNNNNNNNNNNNNNNNNNNNNNNNNNNNNNNNNNNNNNNNNNNNNNNNNNNNNNNNNNNNNNNNNNNNNNNNNNNNNNNNNNNNNNNNNNNNNNNNNNNNNNNNNNNNNNNNNNNNNNNNNNNNNNNNNNNNNNNNNNNNNNNNNNNNNNNNNNNNNNNNNNNNNNNNNNNNNNNNNNNNNNNNAAGUAUACGAGUCAGGUUAUAAUCUUGUUUUUACAAUGAAGUAGGUGAGUACUCCAAAGGUCGAACCCAAGGAAGGCAAGUACUAAUAUUAACUUAAACGUAAAUAGAUCUAAUUAGUAUCAUAAAUAAAUUAUAGUAUGAUAAAGCCUAAAGUGAAAAAUAUUUAUUUAAUAAGGAAAGAGUAAAACAUGCAUAAAAGAGUGAAAAUGAAAAACUUAUAUAUAACUCAACCAAAUCUAAGAAUGGGUGAUUAGCUCACUUUAGUGGUUAUAAUUAAUUCCUAUUCUAGGUUUCUACUCAAUCUACUAGUCAUUACAUAAACAGGAUCUCUAGAUCUUCCAAUAAACUAAUGAGUCUGCUAGAACUACUUAUCUCUCGACCUCACAGUGCAUAUCGGAUUGGGGUAAGGGGUUCACAGAUAGCCAAUACCAAUUUUGCGUUAAUCCCCCACCUAGAUAACUUCCUAAGGUUGUCAGGCCUAGGGUUUAAGUUCUUCCUAUCCCAAACAAUUGAUCUACUAAGAAAACUCUACUUAGACAUUAAUUAAUCACACCUCCAUUCACUAAUCUCCCAUAAAAGGAUUACUUAGUCAUGGAUCUUAUAAACAAUAUAUACUUGAUAAAGAAAGUAAACAUGAAUAACGAAUCAAGAAUAACAGGUUAAGAAGAAAUAUUGAUUGUAUUGAUUGAUUGAAGCACAGAAAUCCACAAAGUGCUUGAUUGAAUCCACAAAUCAGAUUCUCUGAAUGAAUGAAAACAAAUUGAAAUAAAUCCUAAGUCUAAAAAGAAAUAAAAAAUUGAAAGGAAAAUUCUAAAUUACAAAAUAGGUUCAUUCUUAAGUGUUUAAUAAGCUUAUUUAUAAUGUUAGGGUUGGCCAUCAUUCUUAGCCUUAGGUUGGUUGAUGUUUUUACAUUAGUUUUCAUUGCAUGAACCAAAACGCACCUAGCUUGUUGAUGCUUUCACGUACAGGGUCGAUGUCGCGACACUGAAGGUAGUUUGCUUAGCUUCAAGCUCAGCUUCAAGGGUGUGUCGCGACAUCUUCUAUCAAUUUUAUGACACUAAAGGCAGUCUUAGUAUUUUAGCACUCUGGUCACUGUGUUGAGACCUUGAACUCCACAUGUUGAAACAUUGUGACCAACCUUGAAUCCUCAAGCCUUUGAAUGGUGUCCUACACACUUACUAAGUACGUUAGUCUUCCCUUAGCCCUCAUUCGACCCCUAAGGUCAUAAAGCAACUUAAUUACACUUUCUAUUAAAUGAAAACUAAGACUGGAAAACUAAAUAACACAUAAUAAAUUUGCUCAUAUUCAGGUUCUCUAAGUAUGAAAACUAGUUUAAUUUGCUACAACGAAUGCGACAAAUCAAACUCUCCCACAAUUAAGUUAUUACUUGUCCUCAAGAAAAGAAACAAAAUAUCAAAGACGACUCUUGAGCAACUAGGAUACAAAGACAAGUUUUGGAAUACAUAGCUAGGAAAAAUCAUAUCUACACAUAAUUCUAGCAUGAUAUAUUAACUACUUACCACUCUUAAUAUCAAACACCUAAGUUAAAUAUAGUACAAAGUAUAUAAACAAUAAGGUAAUUUACUUAUCUUAGCAAAAUACAAACUGUUAUUAUUGUAAUUACUCAAUAUAAUGUCAAUUCAUGAAUAGAUUUACAUAGAUCACAUAGGGCUUUUCGACUAGUAAUGUUAUGAGGCUUAGGGUAGGUAUGAAAUUCAAAAACAAAAAGCAUCAAAACAACUUUAAGCACGGAAGUAUUUUAGCACAUCGUAUUGUUCCCGAUUUUCCCCUUUAACAACCCUUUCUUGCUCAUCGUCUUAUUUCUCAUUCUCUCACCUUUCUUAUUUCUCCACAUAGGAAGUCACAACAUAAUAACAUAAUUAUGGCUAGCUCACGAGUUUUUGUGCAUUAAUGACUAAGUUUUCUAAUUUUGUGACUUUGUCACAUUUGAUUUUUUUCAAUACAUUUCACUUACAAUGCUUUUGUUUUUUCAUUUCUCAAGUACUUUUUCUACUUGUUUCAUCUUUUUCUAUAUUUUCUUUUGUUUCACAGAUGUUGGGUAACUUAUAAUCACUAUAUCAUAUUGAUUCUUCCUAUUUCACUCUUAUUUUUACAAAUUCUACAAUAAUGUAUCAACCUAUCCCUUAAUACAUGUGGCCAAACGUCUAAAUUCGUGCAAUUCUGGGACCAAAGAAAAUGAUAAGUACUCAAGUUUUGUAUGAAAGUUCAUUAAGAAGUGUUUUCUAGCUCAAAAUAGGUAUAAGAUUCGAUGAAUAAGAUUAACUUUUAGGCUCUGGGUUAUACCAAACAAUGCCUUAGGUCAUCCCUAGGUAUCUCAAUAUUCACAAAUUUCACUAUUUUUCAUAUAUACUAGCAUGCUCGUUUCCUUGUAUUAUUUUGGUCAUUUGGUAUAUUUAAUAACUUAAUGCUUAUUUACAGUGUAAUAUAUAGAACUUAGUAGUCUAAUAAUCAAAAAAUUAAAAUCAUUCACUAUCAUGUCAAAUUUAUAGUAAAUACAAUCAACCUAUAUAUAUGCUCCUAACCAAUGACUUGUAUUUCUAUAAGCUCAAGCACACUUUGACAAGAAAAAUAAAAUAAAAAGCAUAAAAAAAUAAGCAAAUUUUCCUAUAUUACCCCCACACUUUAGAUAACAUAUUGUCCAUAAUGUGCAACCAUAUAGAUAAGGAAAGAAGUUGUCUGAUUGAUCGUGACAUUGUGGUAGUCUUAUGAUGGGUGCUCCCUUCCUUGUUUGUAGACAGCUCAAAAAUAUUUUGUUUCUUUCAUGUAAGGUUCCUACGUAGAAACUUUGAACAUAAGAAAUAUAUAUAAACCUACUAUUAAUCCUACUUUUUAAAAAAUAAAAAUCAUCCGAAUUAAUUGUUUACAAUCCAAAAAUUAAAACUAAAUGUUCAGUCAAUCAUUAUCAUCCUCUUGAGAAUCCAUCUCAUCCCCCUCCUCUUCAGCUUACUCAUCGUCACUAUCUUCCCUUUUCUUGUUGUCUUGCUCUUCUGCCUCAUAAUAAGAAUGCAUUGGACCAAAUGUAUUCAGUGGAUAGUUUGGUACUUUCAUGUUGUUCUGUGCCACAAAUUCUUGAAAAACUGGGCUCGUCUCUUGCAUCCAUCUUAUCAUCCAUUCCAUCUCUAAAAUGCUACUCUCACCUAUUUCUUUUCAAGAUUUUGGUUUUACUUUUUGUGUAAGUGAAGCUGAAACGUCCAUCUUUUCUUUACGGUGUUUGUUUUAAUCCCUUAUUUGCUUUCGUUGAAGCUCCAUAUAUUGCUUAUAUAAUGAAUCUUCUAUGAGACUCUUGGAUGGCUUCAUGAAUUGCUCUGUGGUUGUCAUUGGAACUCUGGCCUUUUUACACAAAGGCACCACUAAGUGUGGGAAGAAAACCUUGACUUUCUAGCAACUAAUGCACCACUUCAUAUAAUAAUAGAUUCAUGUCUCAAUGUGUAGCACCCUUAACCCGUAUCCGUCAUCGGAAUAAGAUUAUAGAGCAUUAUCAGACUUAUUUCUAAAAUAAUCAUACAUUUCAUAUACAUUUCUCAAAUCCAUACAAAAUUCAUUCAAAUACAGUCAUAUAGUCCCUAACACGAGCCCUUGAGGCCCAAAACAAGCAUUAGAAGUGCUUCAGGAAUAAAUCGAAUAUUUAAUAAUUUUUUAGAAGAACACAGAAAAUUUUCAAGUGCAGGGGACACACGUCUGGAUGGACAUACCAUGUGGACAUUCGAAUUGGCAUCACAUGGCCAUGUCCCAGCCCGUGUUUGACCCUGUGUAACUCUCUGACUUGGGUCACAUAGCCAACCACACAUCCGUAUGACUAGCCCAUAUACCCUUCGAAAUGGCCUCACACGCUCGUGUGCUAGGCCGUGUGAAAACUAGAAGGUAUACUGACUUGUGCCACACGGCCAAGCCACACGCUCAUGUGCUAAGCCGUGUAAAGCUACUGACUAGAUUUCUAACUAAGUACCAGGGGACACACGGUCGUGCCACCUGACCGUGUGUCACACACGGCUGAGACACAUGCUUGUGUCUCUGCCCGUGUGGACAAAAAUAGGCUAUUUUUCAAGUCAUUUUUCUCACCCAAUUUUGCAUCAACCUAAACAUAUCAAAUGGCAUAUGACCAUAUUAUCAAUAGGCAUUCAAACCAUUCGCAACCAAGUCCAAAUCAAUCUAUACCAAUACCAACAAUAGCAAUGCUCAUAACUUCACAAUUGAGUAUUCAAAAUCAUACCAAUAUGACUGUCAACAAUCACCUAAACGACCAAACUUACUUAAUAGACUUUGUGCCUAAAUCAACAUGCAUACCAUAUCUCAAAAUUCAACCAUUUGGUACUCAGAAUACAAAUACACAAUUAAGGCAUUCACAUAGCAAUUAUAAACCACAUAUCAAAGGGCCAUUUACACAUAUUUACAUAUCCAAACAUAUUCCAUGGCAAUCCAAAUGCACACAAGAUGAGAAUAACCACAUAUAUAUACCAACAUAUGCCAAAUCAAGUCAUAUUACAUAACUAAUUACAUAACCAAUACAUAUAGGCUUUCAUUAGCCAAAUGACCUAUACAUGCCUUAUAACCAAAAUACACAAAGUUCAAAAGUACCAAAACAACAGUUGGAUAUUGUGAUGAGAUCUCCGACAACUUCCAAUUCGAGCAAGCUUCAAAAUCACUAUAAAACACAGAAAAGUAAACAAAAUAAGCUAUUAAGCUUAUUAAGCUCAUAUGGCUAAUAAGUACAACUUACCAUUUAAUCAUAAUUUAUGUAUUUAAACAUGGCAUAAUGCAACUAAACUUAAUCCACAAACCUAACACAUAUUAAUCUAUAAGGUUAGACAUAAAAUUCACCAUUUUCAUAAAUUCAAUACUUAUAUGAUUCAUAUACAUACCUGUAAUGGUACGUAUCAACCUCCCAUUCUUUCAUACAUCAUUAUACCCGUUUAACCAUUUGGAAUAAUAUUAGAUACUCGGUAAUCUCACACACUAAGUAUCUAUGUUCAUAAUGGCCUAGUAAAAUCCUGAUUGAAAUAUUUUUUGGGCUAUCCUUUUCCCACCAAAAUGUCCUCCACAAAGAGAUAUGUGGCAUCCUUAUACAAUAUCAUGUAUUUCUUCCUCUACUACACAGCGUCGAACUAAUUGACCUGCACAUUGAAAAAACACGCAUGGUUCCUCCCACACAUAAUUUUUGGAUUCGUGAACUAUCUGUUUUUUCUGCUACCAAGAUGCUUGAGUCGGGAAAACCUCUCCUACAAUGUAAUUAACAAAAUCUACAUUCCAUGAUGUUCUAUGCUUACCAUGUACUGGUUGAUUAAUGUCUACCCUGAAUAGUUGCUCAUCUACAAAGGUCUCCUUAAUCUCUUUCGUAUUUUCUGCCUGUAGAUUCCCCUUAAUUCUAGAUAAGUGAUCUACGAUUUGAUUUUCGGUCCCCUUUCUAUCCAAAUCAAAUUCCUAAAGUAACAAAAGACAUUGUAACACCCCAAACCUAGCCCGGACGUUAUGGCUAGAUCCAGCAUGUCACAUUGAAGUGUUUUAUCGAAAACCUUCUUUUCAUUGAAAACCCUUCUUUGAUAUAAAAACCUUGAGUAAAAUCCCAGCUUGUAUUUGUUGCUUUCAAGGCGAGGUGUAUUUUAAAGAAAAAAUAUUCCUUCUUGUAUGAUAAUAAUUACUUUGUAAAAUCUCUUUUUAGUUGUGGAAGCUUUAUUUAAAACAGAUGAUCUAUGAAAACUUGUCAUUUAAAAAUUGAGUUGCGGAAACGUAGUAUCUAAAAAUAGUUAUGGUUUUAAGAAAACCAUGUUCUACUUCUAGCAAAUACAAAGCAUAAUAAUAAAUAUAAUCCUAAUUUGAAUAUUAACCAGAGGAAAGGCCUUAUUACAUUUCGGACUGAAAUAACUUUAAAUACUAGAAAUUAGAGGCUUAAGAAAAGAAGUCCAACUUGUCUUGCUAGCUGGCCACCUCGGAGUCCCUCCAACCGUUGAACCACCUAUUAAGGAUCACCUGAGAAAAAUAAAAGAGGGGGAGAGUUUUUGAAAACUCAGUGUCUACAACCCUCAGCUGUAACAUUCCAAAAUAGGGCUUAGUCGGAAUAGUAGUUUUGGGACCAUAAAUUUGACAUCAAAAUAUUUAUUUUAUGAUUAUUACGAGGCUUAGAAUAUGAUAAUAUGUCUAUGUUUUAGUUUCAUGAAGGAAUUCUUUGAGUAAGUGCCCAAUUGGAAAAUUAGGGACUAAAUUGAAUAAAUUACAAAACUUGGAUUCUAGAAGCAAUUUACAUGAAAUUGCUUUAGAUUAUAAAAUAGAAGAUCUUGGGGAGUAAUUUUCCCCAUUUCUAAGUUUAUGAAUAAAAAUGGGCUUGCAUGGAUGAAAUUUCAAAGAAAGAGCUUAAGGGCAUUUCGGUCAUUUGGCAUAUUAAUGAAAUAAAAUGGGAAAAAGAAGGCAAAAAUCAACCAUUCCUCCCCCUUGUCCAGUUGAAAUUCCUAAGCCACCAUAGCUAGGGUUUCCAAGCUUUUCAAGCUCAUUACUAAGUGCUCCCAAGCCCCGUUUUUAAUGUUCUUUGUAAUUUUGAGAUCCCGGUAGCUUACUCUCUCCAUUUCUACCCAUAUUUCAUGCUAGGGUUCAUGUUUAAAAAUUUAACCAUGCAUGAGUUACUUGUAUUUUGAUGUUUUAUGGAGGAAUAUGAAAGUUUGAGGUGUGUUAAAUAACUUUUCCUAGGUGAUUUUCAUGAAAAACCUCUAAAGGGACCUUUUUGCAAAAGUUGUAAAAUAUGUGGUAGAAAUGUGAAAAUAAUUGAAAACGUGGGCUACCAUAAGAGGUAAAAGUGUUCGGCUAGGCUUGAGUAAGGUAGAAAUUGCAUUCGUUUCAUUAUAUGAGCCUAGAGACUAAAUCGUAAAAAUGUGAAAGGUCAGGGGAAAAACGGUCAUUUGGACCGAGGUUGGAAUUUAGACUUGAAAUGUAUAAUUUAGAGUGUUAAUGAUCGAUUUUUAUUGUUAUAGACCCCGAGGAAAAAAUUUUGGAGGUCGAUCGAGGAAAACGAAAGAUUUCGGAAUAACCGAAACACAACACCGAAACGAAUACUAAGUAAGUUCAGAUAACUUAAAGUAAACACUCAGUGUGCCUAAUUAUAUGAUUUAUGAAUGCAUGAUGAUUGCAUUUAUUAAGAAAAUGAAAUUCUAUGAAAUGCAUGUUUAAGUAUGAAUUGUGAUAAAGAUCUCGGUUGAGGUUAAAAAGGGAAUUCAAUGGAUAAACCACGAUUGACAUGUGUAAUGAGGUCUUGCAUGUGUUACAGUAAGGAUUUAUCCCGGACGGGUAAUCUGUUGAUCUCAAUUAUAAAAGGAUCUAGCCCGGACGGGUGUUCCUUUGAAUGGUCGAGCCUCCCGAAGAAUAUGUGUGCAUUAUGGAUUUAGCCCGAAUGGGUAAUCUGAUUAGGAUCUGAAUUUAGCCUGGACUGGUAAUUUAGAUCCGAGUUUAAUAAAGGUGUUUGUCGUUAUAAGGGAUUUAGCCUGGACUAGUAAUCUCGACAUCACCUUAUGAGUUCAUAAAGUGGGGGAUUUAGCCUGGACUGGUAAUCUCACCAUAAGAUGUGAGGUUCGCGGGAGUGCAUAUUUGAAAUGAUCAUAGUACGAAUUGAUGGUAAAUGGAUAUUCCAUUGAGAUUUCCUAGAAACUCAACGAGAUUAUUGUGACAUAUAUAUAUAAAUGAGAUGUUGAAUGAUGUGCUCAUCUAAGAUAACUUUCAUAGUGCAUUGUUAUGUGACUAACUCAUUGAUUGAGUGUAAGUGAUAGGGAAGCCAUCCUAUACUCAUUGAAUUUAUUACCGAAUUUGAUUACAUGCUAACUACUUGGUAAGUUUACUUUCCAGUUAUUCGAGCUUACUAAGCAUGAAAAUGCUUACCCCUUUCUUUUCCCUAUCUUUCUCAGAGCUCGAGGACUCAUAGAGAUUAGAAGACGGUUGGAGAGUCAGCAUACUAUCAAGUAGACCAGCUUUGGUAUAAAGACAUUUCUAAAUUGUUCAAUGGCAUGUAUAUAUCUUUUGAGUAUUUUGUUAUAUGUGUCAUUUGAUUUUCCAAAUGAAGGCUUGUAAAGAUAAAUCUAUCUUUUUUUAUGGCCAUAGAGAUCGACUUGUUUUGAAGUAGGCUAUGACCUACAAAAUUUCCAUGCAAGUUUGUAAUCAUGUGCGAUGGUUGAAUUCCAAUUGGCAAUGAGCCAUAAGAACGAGCCAAUCUUGAAUGUAUUAAAGUGGCAUGACAACACAUAAAUACAAGAUGGGAAAUAACCUAGCAUGUACGAAACCAAUGAUAUGAGGUUUCCAUGCAAUGAGUUUUUGGAAAGAUCAUUUAUGAGAGCACAAUUAUGUUUUACUUUGUUUUGUAAUAUUCAUUAAGUAUAAGUGUAAAAAGGGGGUGACCAUAGGUUUGGAAAAUAGCCUAAUAGGGUCUACAUGGUUGGGUACAUGGGCAUGUGCCUAGGCCGUGUGUGACACACGGGCCACACCCGUGGGCAUGUGGCAUGGUCGUUGUCCCCUGCAUCUAAAAUGAUAAGUUUGUUAAAUGAACAUGGGAUAGACACGGGCGUGUGUCUUGGUCGUGUGAAUUUAACAGAAUGCUCAAGUCUUGGACACGGGGUGAUUGCACGGGCGUGUUCCAAGUCACACAGGCGUGUGACACUUCAAGUUAAAAGAAAUUUUCCAAGGUGCCCAAAGUUUAUCAAACGUUCUCGAUUUUGUCCCGCAUCGCCUCUAGGCAUGUUUUAGGUCUCGAAGGCCUGCUUAAGGGAAAGAUAUACACAUUUGAAAAGUUUUAAAUUAAAACGUAACUUAGUGACUUAAUUUAAUAUGUUUAUGAACAUGAAAUCCUGGUAAUGCAUCGAGCCCUAUCCCGGCGUCGGAUACUGGUGAAGGGUGUUAUAUUUAGUGGUAUCAGAGCCAGGUUUAGUCGGUUCUAGGACUACCGUAGAGAGUAUUAAGGUUUGCUAUACAUGCCAUUAUUCGAAUAUUAAUAGUGUGACGUCUCCUAACUGUUUAAAUUGUUUUGAAUAUAGUAAAUGUCUUCCAAUCAAGCACAAGAUGAGUCCGAGGGAGCUGAGAGCCACGCUCCAGCUUCCGUACAGCGAGCUAUAUCUAGUAGUAGUAGAAAGCUUAUGUUUGAAGGCCGGGAAGAGGCCCGAGCUGCCUUCUUUGAUAUGAUGGACGAAUGGUUUGGGGAUUACCAGAGGAAUCACCCCAACAUACCAAGACCUCCCCCGCCCCUAACCUCCCUGAUGAGGAUGUACCACGAGGUAUGGCACCGGUAAGAAUUGGUAAAGCCCCUGUUGAUAAGCUUAAAAAGUAUGGGGCUGAGGAAUUCAGAGCUAAAGUUGAUGAUAAUGCUAAAAGAGCCGAGUUUUAGCUCAAGAACACUACACGGGUGUUAGAUGAUUUGUCGUGCACACCUGAGGAGUGUUUGAAGUGUGCCAUGUCCCUCUUGAAAGAUACUACGUAUCAUUGGUGGAAGACUGUAUCCUUGGUAGUGCCAAAGGAAAAUAUCACUUGGGAUUUCUUCCAAGCAGAGUUUAGGAAGAAUUACAUUAGCCAACGAUUUCUAGAUAAAAAGCGAAAAGAGUUUCUAGAACUCAAAUAAGGGAACAAGACUGUAACAGAAUAUGAACGAGAGUUCAUGUAGCUAAGUCAGUACGCAACUGAAUGGGUCCAAACUGAGUAAAAAAUGUGUAAACGCUUCAAGGAAGGUCUGAAUGAGAAAAUUAAGUUAUUGAUUGGGAUCCUUGAAUUAUGGGAGUUUGCCACAUUGGCUGAUCGGGCCAAAAAGGCCGAGGAGCUUGACAACAAAAGAAAGCAAGCCAAGAGAGAGGCUCGAGUCGCGAGCAAGAGGUCCAGUAGUAAAACACUCUCUUUUUUCAUAAAAAAAUCAAGCAGCCAGCAUGAACGCUCCAUUUCAUCAGUAGGAUAUUCGGGUAGAGGGAGAAGCUCUAAACAACGAAGACAAAAGCCUUCCUCCCCCAUGGUAACUAAUGUGGGGAGUGUAGAUGAUCAAAAGUUGAAGUGUAAGGGUUACAACGAAUUUCACUAUAGAGAAUGCCAAGUGAAGAGCGGUGCAUGUUUCAGAUGUGGAUCUUUUGACCACUUUCUCAGGGACUGCCCAGAGCGAGUCGAGAAAGAAGUGGAAGUAGCCCCGAAGUCGAAUACUCUCAUUUCACGAGGUAGACCUCUGAGAUAUCCUGGAAGUGCAAGUGGCAAUUGAGUUGUGGCUAAAGACAUUACAAAACUAGAGGCUCGAGCCCCAACACGAACGUAUGCGAUACGCGCCCGAGAGGAAGCCUCUGCUCCUGAUGUUAUCACGGGUACUUUUUCUCUUUUCGAUAUAUGUGUUAUUGCCUUAAUUGAUCCGAGGUCGAUGCAUUCAUACAUUUGCAUGAGCUUGGUAUCUAGAAUGAACAUACUAAUUUAGCCUACGGAAUUUAUUAUUAAAGUGCCGAACCCACCAGGCAGAUUAGUGAUGGUUGAUAAAGUCUGUAAGAACUGUCCUUUGACGAUGCAGGGCCAUUGUUUUUUGGCUAAUCUUAUGUUGUUACCAUUUAAUGAAUUUGAUGUAAUACUUGGUAUGGAUUGGUUAGCAGUGCAUGAUGUAAUUGUAAAUUGUGGUAGUAAGUAUAUUAAAUUGAAAUGCCCGGAUGGUGAGAUUUUACGGGUUGAUUCAAGAGAGUAGAGUACGCCUCCGAUUGUGACCACGGUAAUGGUUACUCAGAGAUAUAUGAGAAAAGGGUAUGAAGCCUACCUUGCAAUUGUAUUGAACACUAAAGAAGUAGAGUUGAAGAUUGAGUCUGUGCCUAUAGUAUGUGAGUACCCAAAUGUAUUUCCAGAAGAAUUACCCAGAUUAACUCCUGAAAGGGAAAUAGAAUUUGGUAUUGAGUUGGUGAGAGGGACAGCUCCUAUUUCAAUUAUUCCGUAUAGGAUGGCGCCAACUAAACUAAGAGAAUUGAAAGCACAGUUGCAAGAGCUGACGGCUAAAGGUUUUGUAAGGCCGAGCUUUUCACCUUUGGGUGUUCCCAUUCUAUUUGUAAGGAAGAAAGAUGGUUCGAUGAGGUUAUGUAUAGAUUACCGCCAACUGAACAAGGUAACUAUCAAGAAUAAGUAUCUUUUACCAAGGAUCGACGAUUUAUUUGAUCAGUCGAGAGGAGCUACCGUAUUCUCUAAGAUAGACUUGAGGUCUGGCUAUUAUCAACUACGAGUUAAAGAAUUUGAUGUACCUAAGACAACUUUCAGAAUGAGGUACGAUCAUUAUGAAUUUCUCGUCAUCCCAUUUGGGUCAACGAAUGCACUAGCCGUAUUCAUGGGUCUAAUGAAUAGGAUCUUCUGGCCAUAUUUGGAUAAGUUUGUCGUGGUGUUCAUUGACGACAUCUUGAUUUAUUCCAAAGAUGAGUCAGAACAUGCAAAGCACUUGAGAAUUGUGUUGUAGACUUUGAGGGAAAAGAAGUUGUAUGUUAAGUUUAGCAAUAGUGAGUUUUGGCUUUAGGAAGUUGGAUUUUUGGGUCAUAUUGUUUCAGGUGAAGGCAUCCGAGUCAAUCCAAGUAAGAUUUCUGCUAUCGUCGAAUGGAAACCACCUAAAAAUGUAACUGAGGUUAGAAGCUUUUUGGGCUUAUCCAGUUACUAUCGAAGAUUUAUGAAAGGAUUCUCCAUGAUAGCAACUCUGAUGACGAGAUUGUUACAGAAAAAUGUUAAGUUUGAAUGGACGGAAAGGUGUCAACAAAGUUUUGAGAAGUUAAAGACACUGUUAACUGAAAUUCCUAUUUUAGUAUUGCCUGAGUCGGGAAAAGAAUUUGUAGUCUACAGUGACGCAUCCUCAAAUGGACUGGGUUGUGUACUUAUACAAGGUGGCAAAGUAAUAGCCUAUGCUUCAUGAUAGUUGAAGCUGCAUGAGAAGAACUAUCCUACACACGACCUAGAACUUGCCACCAUCGUUUUUACUUUGAAAAUUUGGAGGCAUUAUUUAUAUGGUGAGACUUGCCGCAUAUUCACUGACCACAAGAGUUUGAAGUAUUUGAUGACUGAAAAAGAAUUAAAUUUGAGGCAGCAGAGGUGGCUAGAGUUAAUCAAGGAUUACAAACUAAUUAUUGACUAUCACUUGGGAAAGGCGAAUGUGGUCGCUGACACGUUGAGAAAAAAAUCCUUGUUUGCAUUAAGGGCCAUGGAUGCUCGUUUGGCAUUGCUUGAUGAUGGUUCAGUCUUGGCUGAGCUAGAGGCUAGGCCGACAUUUCUUCAGGAAAUCUAUGAUUCUCAAACUAAUGAUGAUGACUUGCAAGCUAAAAGAACUCAAUGUGAGCCAGGUAUUGAAUCAGAUUUUUGGAUUGGUUCUGAUGGAUGUUUGAUGUUUAGAAAUAGGGUUUGUGUACCCAAAAAUAAUAAAUUUAUUCAGAAAAUUUUGCAAGAAGCACAUAAUAGCCGUUUUUCAAUUCACUUGGGAAGUACCAAGAUGUACAAUGAUUUGAAGAAAAUGUACUGGUGGAAUGGCAUGAAAAGAGAUAUUUCUGAAUUUGUGCCGCAAUGCCUAGUAUGUCAGCAAGUUAAAGCUGAAUAUCAAGUUCCUUCAGGUUUGCUACAGCCUGUGAUGGUCCCCGAAUGGAAGUGGGAUAGACUUACUGUAAGAGUAUGCCCAAAGAUCAAUCACGAGAUGGUUGUCAUAACAUACUUGAUUUAUCAUGUUUAUUGAUAUAAGGCAUUGCCAUUAUUAUUUCAGUUUCUUUUCUGUGUACAUAAAUAAACUGUUUUAUAAUAAUGUCCUGAGAAUAAUAUGAUUAUUCUUAAAAGAUCCCUAGUCAAGUAUUAUUGUUGGCUAGGACAACAAUAAUGCAUUAAGACUAACAUGUAGUUGAUUGAUGAUAAAGAGUUGUCAUUGAUAUGGAGUGUCAAAAUCAAUGCAUGGAUAUGUGUGUUAGAGAACAACAUAUUGGACUGCCCUGCUAUGAGUAUGUUUCUUGGAUUAUUAUAUAAUUGUCACAACAUUACUCAUAGUGAUUAAUAUGUAUAUGAUCCUCAUACUUGAGAUCAUAAUUAUCCCAACAUCGUGAAUUGUAUAUUUUGAUAUAGUCAAACGAACAUCGUAACUGGUUCUUCUAUAAAGACUAAUGUUGGAUAUACCACAAUCUAUGUACAGAGAUAUGGUUAAUCAAUAUAGGAUAAGUCCCUCCUACAUAAUGGGAGUAAUAUCUUAGGCCACUUGAUUGAGUGAGACUAGAAAUGCAUGGCCAUGCUCAAAUAAGUUGAUAUGAGAUGUCAUACUUAUUUGUGUAUCAUAGUUCACUUACGGUAUCAAGAAACAUGGGAUGGACUAUGCAAGUGUGACUAUUCCAUGACUUGUGUCCAUUCCAAAGAUAUAGGACUUAAGGAUUAAUGCAUGAAAGGUUAAUCACAAAAGGUUAUGUCGAAUCAUGACUUCUCGUAACUUAGGUACCAAUGAUGCAUUGCUAGAUGCCACUCAUUGUUUGUAACUUUAGAAUCGUUCUAAUAUUACUGCUAACGUUACAAAAACCUAUAGGGCCACACCCUAUGGUUGAAAUGAAUGGAGUAAAACAUAGUUGGUAUUGUAUUCUGAUUGUUAGAUGAAUUAAAUUAAUCAUAGAAUUAAUUUAAUUGGGCAAUCAAAUUGUUGAACAUACUAUACGUACAAGGAUGUUGUACACAUAAUCAGAACAUAAUUUCAUUAGCAUAUGAAUUUGGUUUAUAUAUAAGUUUAAAUAAAUAUAGCUUACCGAAAUCUUUAUUAUAAUUAAUGUAAUUAUAAUUUUCGGUUAAACAUUAUUAUAUUUAUUUUAAUGAUGACUAUUAUGUUCAGAUUAAUUUUAAUAAAUUAAUAUUCAUUAAAAAGAUAUACCAAUUAAAAGGGUGUUAUAUAUGGAAGGGGUAAAAACCCUAAAGAGAUAAUAUAUAAAUAAGCCCGAAACUAUGCUAAAGGGUCUAGCAGCCGUCAAGCAUAAAAAUCACUGAAAUAGUUUCUGAGAUUUUUCUACCGUUCAUUGUCAACUGGGUGGACUACGUAGAGGCCGACAUCGGAAAGGUUGCGGCUUGGUUCGAUAGUGGUUCAGGAUUCCCGUUGCCUAGACGUCGUAGUCUACUCAGAUUGAAGUUUCGGUAAUUUCGAAACCUUUUACCACCCCGAUACGUUCCUUACACAUGGAUCCAUGGUUUGGAUUGCCGAAAUUGUGACAGCCCUAAUUUGACCCUAGUCGAAAAGUGGUUUCGGGACCACAAAACCGAGUCAUAAAAAUAAUUAACCGUUAUAUUUUAUGCUUAUUGUAUGUGAACAUGCAUGUGUGAAAGAUACAUACCUUAAUUUUGUUAUUUGAAUGUGAAAUUUAUUAAAUAGGACUUAUGUGAGACAAUUGUGAAAUGUGAUAGCUAAAUUGUAAAGUGGUCUAUUAAUGCAUGUUGUCAAAAAGGUGGACUUGCAUGUCAAAUUAGCCAUUUUUUUUAGUGGCCGGCCAUGAUAUUGAUUAAUAUAUAUUAUAUGUGUUUUAUAUUAGCAUUUUAAUAUACAAAAUAAAUAAGAAAAUAAGAUAAAGAGUUAGUGGGAGGAAAAACCAAAGUGAAUCCAUUUUUACUCCUCCAUUGCCGUAGCUUGAAGUGAGGAAGAAGGAAAUUUUUGCUUAAAUUUUCAGGAAAUUUUUGCUUAAAUUUUCAGCUUAGGUGAUGGCUAUAAUGAGGUAAGUACUAAGAAAUUCUUGAAAAAUUAUGCAUAGUUUGGAUGAUUGGUUUGAAUGCUACCUAUUCCAUGUUUUAAAUUUGGGUUAUUUGGGGGUUUGAAAUUUAGUCAAGAAGCUAGAACUCUUAGUAUAUAUAUUUUUCUUUAUUAAAUUGGAUAGUAAUGUGGAGAAUGAUGAAUUGUUAAAUUGCUUUUAACUUGAAGGUAGAGGUUAGAAUGUGUUUUAGGGAGAUGCCGAAUGUGGUUAUUGUAGGUAUCUUAAGAAAUAAUAUUGUGGCUUGAGUUGCUAACAAUCGGUUAAGGACUAUGAGGAUUAACAAUUUUGGUAUGAUGUAUAGGUGUUAAUUACCAUGUAUUUAGAUGAUUUGAAGAUUAAGUAGUGGCUUAAAUUCUUAGUGGCAAAUGGCUAUUAUGGUGAAAUGCAAAUGUUAAUAUUUAGUUGCUAGUGUUUAUAUGUGUGUUAGCCGAAUUUGAACUUGAAUAAUGAUUUGAGUUCAAUGUGUUGUAUUGAUAUUAUGCUUAAGUGAAAUUAUAUAUAUAUAUAAUGAAAUUGAUUGGUGAUACACAUGUUUAAAUAAUAUGUAUGCAAAGGAUGUGUGAAAGAGUGAAUUAGUAAUAAUCUGUUUGGGACAGCAGUAGUAAAGUGAUUUUGGAAAAUCACCAUAAAUUGUGGGAGUUGAGUUAGAAGCUGAAUAAAUUUUUAAUUAAAGCUUGAUGAGUCUAGUUUCUUAUAAAAGAAACUAUAAAAGCAAAAGAAUUGCCGAUAAUGAGAUAUUUGAAGUAAUGUGGGACAGAGUUAAAAUGACUUCUAGAUCCCCUGUUCUAUUUUUAUAAAAUCACUAUAAAACGUAUAAAAAUAGUCAAAUGAUGAAAUUUAUAUGCUUAGACUCCUUAAUGAGUCUAGUUUCAAAUGAAAUAAACAAGAACAUGUUUUGAAUUCUGUACAAUGAUAAAUUUAUUUCAUAGUGAAGAGUGGUCAGAUU
RNAcentral lists this long non-coding RNA (24516 nucleotides) under Gossypium barbadense (sea-island cotton). RNAcentral describes it as "long non-coding RNA (GBAR_LNC000760)". The record is from RNAcentral. Lineage: Eukaryota; Viridiplantae; Streptophyta; Magnoliopsida; Malvales; Malvaceae.